This 1358-nucleotide ribosomal RNA is filed under the name Bacillus velezensis. Its description in RNAcentral is "bacterial SSU rRNA". It matches the Rfam family "Bacterial small subunit ribosomal RNA", at positions 95 to 1438 of the family's 1533-position model. Lineage: Bacteria; Bacillati; Bacillota; Bacilli; Caryophanales; Bacillaceae. The record is from RNAcentral.
GCGGCGGACGGGUGAGUAACACGUGGGUAACCUGCCUGUAAGACUGGGAUAACUCCGGGAAACCGGGGCUAAUACCGGAUGGUUGUUUGAACCGCAUGGUUCAGACAUAAAAGGUGGCUUCGGCUACCACUUACAGAUGGACCCGCGGCGCAUUAGCUAGUUGGUGAGGUAACGGCUCACCAAGGCGACGAUGCGUAUCCGACCUGAGAGGGUGAUCGGCCACACUGGGACUGAGACACGGCCCAGACUACUACGGGAGGCAGCAGUAGGGAAUCUUCCGCAAUGGACGAAAGUCUGACGGAGCAACGCCGCGUGAGUGAUGAAGGUUUUCGGAUCGUAAAGCUCUGUUGUUAGGGAAGAACAAGUGCCGUUCAAAUAGGGCGGCACCUUGACGGUACCUAACCAGAAAGCCACGGCUAACUACGUGCCAGCAGCCGCGGUAAUACGUAGGUGGCAAGCGUUGUCCGGAAUUAUUGGGCGUAAAGGGCUCGCAGGCGGUUUCUUAAGUCUGAUGUGAAAGCCCCCGGCUCAACCGGGGAGGGUCAUUGGAAACUGGGGAACUUGAGUGCAGAAGAGGAGAGUGGAAUUCCACGUGUAGCGGUGAAAUGCGUAGAGAUGUGGAGGAACACCAGUGGCGAAGGCGACUCUCUGGUCUGUAACUGACGCUGAGGAGCGAAAGCGUGGGGAGCGAACAGGAUUAGAUACCCUGGUAGUCCACGCCGUAAACGAUGAGUGCUAAGUGUUAGGGGGUUUCCGCCCCCUUAGUGCUGCAGCUAACGCAUUAAGCACUCCGCCUGGGGAGUACGGUCGCAAGACUGAAACUCAAAGGAAUUGACGGGGGCCCGCACAAGCGGUGGAGCAUGUGGUUUAAUUCGAAGCAACGCGAAGAACCUUACCAGGUCUUGACAUCCUCUGACAAUCCUAGAGAUAGGACGUCCCCUUCGGGGGCAGAGUGACAGGUGGUGCAUGGUUGUCGUCAGCUCGUGUCGUGAGAUGUUGGGUUAAGUCCCGCAACGAGCGCAACCCUUGAUCUUAGUUGCCAGCAUUCAGUUGGGCACUCUAAGGUGACUGCCGGUGACAAACCGGAGGAAGGUGGGGAUGACGUCAAAUCAUCAUGCCCCUUAUGACCUGGGCUACACACGUGCUACAAUGGACAGAACAAAGGGCAGCGAAACCGCGAGGUUAAGCCAAUCCCACAAAUCUGUUCUCAGUUCGGAUCGCAGUCUGCAACUCGACUGCGUGAAGCUGGAAUCGCUAGUAAUCGCGGAUCAGCAUGCCGCGGUGAAUACGUUCCCGGGCCUUGUACACACCGCCCGUCACACCACGAGAGUUUGUAACACCCGAAGUCGGUGAGGUAA